This 73-nucleotide transfer RNA is filed under the name Plutella xylostella (diamondback moth). RNAcentral's name for it is "tRNA-Ser". Lineage: Eukaryota; Metazoa; Arthropoda; Insecta; Lepidoptera; Plutellidae. The record is from RNAcentral.
GACCGAAUGGCGUAGUGGUUAGUGACCCUGACUACUGAGAAGAUGGUCCCGGGUUCGAUUCCCGGCUGGGGCA